This 465-nucleotide ribosomal RNA is filed under the name uncultured Klebsiella sp. RNAcentral describes it as "bacterial SSU rRNA". It matches the Rfam family "Bacterial small subunit ribosomal RNA", at positions 338 to 795 of the family's 1533-position model. Lineage: Bacteria; Pseudomonadati; Pseudomonadota; Gammaproteobacteria; Enterobacterales; Enterobacteriaceae. The record is from RNAcentral.
CCUACGGGAGGCUGCAGUAGGGAAUAUUGCACAAUGGGCGCAAGCCUGAUGCAGCCAUGCCGCGUGUGUGAAGAAGGCCUUCGGGUUGUAAAGCACUUUCAGCGGGGAGGAAGGCGGUGAGGUUAAUAACCUCAUCGAUUGACGUUACCCGCAGAAGAAGCACCGGCUAACUCCGUGCCAGCAGCCGCGGUAAUACGGAGGGUGCAAGCGUUAAUCGGAAUUACUGGGCGUAAAGCGCACGCAGGCGGUCUGUCAAGUCGGAUGUGAAAUCCCCGGGCUCAACCUGGGAACUGCAUUCGAAACUGGCAGGCUAGAGUCUUGUAGAGGGGGGUAGAAUUCCAGGUGUAGCGGUGAAAUGCGUAGAGAUCUGGAGGAAUACCGGUGGCGAAGGCGGCCCCCUGGACAAAGACUGACGCUCAGGUGCGAAAGCGUGGGGAGCAAACAGGAUUAGAUACCCCUGUAGUC